This 31-nucleotide transfer RNA is filed under the name Sceloporus aeneus (Southern bunchgrass lizard). RNAcentral's name for it is "partial tRNA-Leu". The record is from RNAcentral. Lineage: Eukaryota; Metazoa; Chordata; Lepidosauria; Squamata; Phrynosomatidae.
UUUAAAGGAUAAAAGUAAUCCACUGGUCUUA